Molecule: long non-coding RNA, 9997 nt
Organism: Homo sapiens (human)
Lineage: Eukaryota; Metazoa; Chordata; Mammalia; Primates; Hominidae
Exons: 4
Source: RefSeq, a predicted model, not a curated record
UCCCCUCCCCGCCCCACCGCGUCCCAGGGAACCCCGGCAGGGCACCCAGUGAGGGGGGCCCGGGCGUCCGCCCAUUCCUCACUGCUGUCCCCGCCUGUGCCCGAAACCCCCGUUCACGUUCACCGAGAAAACAGACAUAAACCCAGCCAGGCACAUCCACUAGAAUGGCUGUGAUUUCAGAAAAGCGGACGUAAGUGCUGCCGAGGAGAUGGAGGCGUUGGACCCCCUCGCGCAUUGUCGGGGCGGGUGCAGCCGCGGUGCAAAAGGACCUUCCUCAGAAAGUUGAGCACGAAGUUCCCACAGGCCCGGAAGUUCCCCUCCCGGGCGCUCCCCAGAGAGCUGAAGACUGGGCGCGUGCCGGCGGCAAAUGUUCACAGCAAAGGGCGGCCCAGUGCGCAGCUGGAACAUCAGCCCCAGGCGGUCGCUGCGACAGGGACGAGCCUGGGAAACGUGAAAAUGUCCAGAACAGGGAAUCCACAGAUAAAGAAAAGACAUCGUGGUUGCCAGAGCUCGCGGGAGGGGGCAACAGGGACCGACUGCUUAACGUGUAUGGUUCCCCUUCAGGGUGAGGACGUGUUCUGGGACGAGGUCGAGGUCAGGGUUGCAGGACAAGAUGAAAGCGCUAAAUGCCACUGAAUUGUUUGCUUUAACGUCAUUAAUUUUGUUAUGUGAAUUUCAUCUCAAUAGAAUAAAUAGGUCAAGCUGGCUGCAGGGCCCACCCCACCGCGGCCUGGAGCAGGGUCUUCUGGGGUGUACCACCUCUGCCCUCACCCAGGCUCCACCACGACCAGCUUCGUCCACCCCCCAGGAGACCAUGAAGGCCCACGUCUGAAAUCCUCACUAAGCCCACCCUCCCAUCUCCCUGAACUACGGGUAGGACCCCUCUGGCCCCCAGCCCUGCCCUUGACCCGGCCCACCAAGCCCCCACCCAGAUCCACACCACCAGGCACUCUUGCCCUUGGCCUGCUGCCAGGCUGGCCCCGCUCCUUCUGGGCCUCCUGGAGCUUCAACCCCUGCCUCCACAGCAGACCUUGGCCUUUAGCAUGUUCAGUCUCCUCAGUGGCAGCCCCGGGAGGGCCAUCUUCUUGGGUCAAAGCCCUCCUCACUACCCACCCUCUUGCCAGGACUAGCUGUGUCCUGCAGCAGCCCAGCAUGUGCCGUUGAGCUGGCCUUUUCUCAGGCCCAGUGCCCAAGGAGGAGCUGAUUGCAUAGGCUCAGAGUUUCCAGGAAGAGUGGGGACUCAGAUGUCUGCCCAGGUGUCUCCACCGCGUCCGCCAGGGCCUCCAGCUUUCCUAACCAGGACCCUGGCCUCUGGCCUUGGUUGAGUAUUUCACCUUCUUCCAUGUUUAGUCCCUUGGGCUCUGCUACCCUCCUGCUGGAGGUGAGAGCAUCCUGUGUGCAACCAGAGAUGCCCUCUGGCUUUCAGACCUGCCUGCUUUUCACCCUCAGCCCUUUCUCACUCAGCAAAAUUGUGGGGGUCCCUAGUCAGCAGCUCCCUGGGCAGCUCUCUGAGCAAGGUGGUCUCUGUGGUCAUGAAGGAGAGCCGGCUAGGACAGUGCCGGAAACUCAGCUGCCUCUCCCCUUCAACUCAGCUGGCCCCCCGCACCUGAAGUGCACAGGAGCCGGGAAGAGAGUCUGGAGCCCACCCCGGAGGGCAGCACAGGAGGUGUCUCUGCAGCUGGUGUCCUGCCACCCCUGCAGGCAGCACACGUCCCGGGCAUUCUCCUUAGCCACAGACAGAACAGCCAGUGCCAGAGUCUGCUGUCGCUUCCCCUUUAAGCACACUCAUUCACCACACCCGAGGAGGCCAGAGGUGCAGGGAGCAUGGGCUGUCGCUUCCCCUUUAAGCACACUCAUUCACCACACCCGAGGAGGCCAGAAGUGCAGGGAGCAUGGGCUGGGUGCACCUCCGCAGGAGAGAAGGCUGAGCCACCGCCGUCCCGGGAGCCCGGCUCCCAGGCCUCUCGUUUUCCCCUACCUCCCUAAGACUUUUCUGUCACUCUCUGGCCAUUGAAAGGCUUCUGUUCCUUAAAGUGCUGUUACACUCUCCUUUCCCAGGAUGCAGCAAGCCAAAACAGUACCACUGCACGUCAGCCUGGGUGACAGAGUGAGACCCUAUCUUAAAAAAAAAAAAAAUUGGCUGGACAUGAUGGCUCACGCCUGUAAUCCCAGCACUUAGGGAAGCCAAAGUGGGCGGAUCAUUUGAGGUCAGGAGUUCAAGACCAGCCUGGCCAACAUGGUGAAACCCCAUCUCUCUACUAAAAAUACAAAAAUUAGCAUGGUGUGGUGGUGCAUGCCCAUAAUCCCAGCUACUGGGGAGGCUGAGGUGAAAGAAUUGCUUGAACCCAAGAGGUGGAGGUUGCAGUGAGCCGAGAUCACACCAUUGCACUCCAGCCUGGGCAACAGAGGGAGACUGUGUCUCCUAAAAAAAAAAAAAAAAAAAAAAAAGUCUUCUUUCCAUGAUGAGAAUGUCAGGCCCUGCAGCCUCUUGCACUGGCCAGAGGGGCUGGGGUCACUGUCUGUUUCCUUGCCCACCCUCAAGGGACAAGGAGGAGAGGUGAGGCUGUGGGCGCACCUGAUUUUACCUGCUGGAGUCUGUGUUCUCUGGGAUUAGGGAGCAUCUGGAGCUGACUCUUCCUCCAUGGGACCCUCCCUUUUUCAGGAAAACUUCCCCUCCUCGGGGAUCCCGCAGGGCUAAGAAACACCCUCUUCACCUCCCUCCUGCCCGGUCCUUCUGACCAGCCGAGAGAGUACAGACCCUCCCCGAUCUGGGAGGAGGGCCCAUCACUGGCUCCCUGCCCCCUGCUCGCCAAGCCCCCCGGGACUUCCCAGGCUGUUCCUUCCACCUGAAGGGUCUCCCUCUGGCCAAGGCGAGGCUCACAGUUCCCCUGUCAGGAUGGGGCCUUAGACACCCAGACUGACCCAGUGACAAUCACCUUAAUUCUCCACAGAUAACUACCUACAAGUUUUCUGAUUUAUUCAUUAGUGGAUUUGUUCGUGAUCAGCCCCACACCUGUUAGAAUGGAAGCUGCAGGCAGCAGGAACCAGUGUGGCCAAGUCGGAGGGCAGCACAAGCCGGUCCUCCUCGUGGACAGCAGAGGAUAAAACCGAGAAUAAGGAACUUUACAUUGUCAAUGAUCAAACACCUAGUGCACCCAUGGCCGUGCGUCCGCAGGACAAAGCAGCCUUUGGAGCCCUGGAACUUAAGAUGUCCAGAGAUCAGCAGCUCUCGGCUCAGGCCCAGGCAGCUGGACAGCACCCAGCGCCUCCUCCAGGUCCUCCUGGGUCCCCUCCUUUCUUUCACUUUCAGCCCGGGAAUCUCUGUGAAGUCCUAGCUGAUAACUAAGGGGUUAAUGAAUAAUCACAGUGAUGAGCUCUGGAGGAGCCAUGGCCCAGAGCAGCUGUGGCCUCCUUUGAUUAAACCACAGAAGUCCGGAGGAUCAGGCCUCAAACCUCCACCACCUGCCAGCUGGCACCUGUGAAGGAGGUGGGACCAGCACCCACCUCACAGUGGCUGCAGGGUCACCUGAGAUGGUGAUUGCAAAGUGCUGAGCCAUCGGGACACAUAUUUCCAAGACCUCCUGAGUGCCGGCUGGCCCCUGGAGCAGAGAUGAGACCCCUGUGGGGCCUACAGUCCAGUUAUGAAGGCAGGGUUCCUGUGUAAGCCAGCAGGCCCAGUUCUGGAAAGGCCAGGAUGUGGGUUCAGAAGCUCAAGGACAAUGGACUCAUUCUGACUGGAGGGAUCCAGGAAGGCUUCGUGGAGGAAGUGGCAUUUGACAUUGGCAUCAAGGAUGAACAGGAAUAGAGAGAGGGGACUGGUGUCUGCGUGAAGGAUCGCCAAAGCGCUGUUCUGGGGUGAGGGCGAUCAGCCCCUCCUGCCCCUCCUGAACUAUGAGGCUCGGGAGCCUUUGGCAGAAGGUGGCUCUGCACGCCCCAGGUGCAAGCUUGGAGCUUCCUUUUCUGCACUCCACAGCAGGAAGAAGGGCAGUGUGAACUGCUCACCACUGUCUUCCUGGGUUUGCAGCUCUGCGCCUGGCACAGAGACAGGCUCAGUGACGGUUGAAGGAAUCGGAGAAAUAAUGAAAAGUGUGUUCAUCCUGCAGGCAGCAGAGCCUCGGGUUAACCGUUAACGUCAGGAAAUGACAGAUCCAACGCUCCUGCUUGGGGCAGCGUGGAGGCCAGCGGAGGAACUGCAGGAGCCUAAAGGAGAUGGCGCGCGGGCCUGGCUCAGGAGAGCAGCCGUCUGAAAGAUGGCGGCGAAGGGUGCGGGAGGAGAUGCCCCGGGCAGGGGCUUGGCGGGGUCUGGCACCAAACUUCCCAAAGCAGCUGCCUCUGUGAACUGUGCCUGGCAGGGAGGGAGCCACACCGGGAGUGACCCUAGACGCUGGCUCCCCAGGGGUGACUGGAGGCAGUGUCUCCCGCCCAUGUGGGCCUCCGGCUUGGGGUCCCCAGAGCUCUGCCCUGCUGCUGGCUGCACUGAGAGAGGUGGCCUUCUGAAUGGGCCCUGUCCCCGGGGAGCCUCUGGUAAAGAGAUUCACCUGCACCCUCAAAACACGCCAUGCCCAUUGGAGGCUCUGGGUGCAGGCUGCCCCUCAAACAGAGAAAAACCACACGCUGUUUAAGACCCAAACCAAGGAGACAGCCCCUCAUGCCCCCUUCUAUCUCCCCUUCUGUCCAGGGCCCCCUGCCUGCUCUGGUCCACCCCGUCCUGACCCCCUCUGCCUGUUCAUCUGAGGGCCGUGAGCCAAGGCCUGGGCCUGGCCAAGGGUCAGGGAUCCUGGGACCUGCUUGAGACCAUGCCCCAUACACUCCUUCGGCCAGAAGGUCAGCCGUAGAGACAAACCCCCACCCUGAGCCCGCAGUGUCAGCAACGCCCUGUCCUCAGUGCCAGGCAGUGUCAGGCUGAGACCCGGGCCACCUGAUCCAACGUCCACUCCAAGCAAGCCAGAGCCAGGUGCUGCCAGCCUGCCCAUGUGCACACGUUAGCAGACAGGUUUCCUGGUGUGGCACACACGUGUUAUGACCGCGGCUGCUGCCCCCAGCCCAGAGUGCACUUCCGGGUAAUCCAGCACCCUGAGGCUUCACUGCUCUCCUGAGAGUUUUCUAAGAUUAAAUCUCCUUCACAAUGACAGCCUCCUGUCACCUGGGCCCUGGUGACAAAGCCUUUGGAGAGGCAAGGACCCAGCCGGGGCAUUCACAGUGGGCAUGCUAUCCACCCUCCGCCCCUGUCCUGGCCCCCACAGUGGAGCCGCCACCUUGGGUAACAGGGGCUGCCUGAGGUCCUGGAGAAGGAAGAACCAGGUGGCCCACCUUCGGUGCACAGGGAACAGCAGGGACCUGACGGCAGCCCCCGCACCCCUCCCUGGGCUGAAGUUCAGGCUGUCUCAUCCCUUGCCAGGAGCUCAGGGCUGAGCUAGGUUGGCAGGGGAUGGGUUGAGGGUCUGUUGUCCAGCAGAUUGCCCGGGCCCCACCCAGGCCACUCAGAAAACACCUGUGAGAGCCCCGCAGGCAUGCAGGGCACUGUCGUGAGCACACCAGUGGGGACAGACGUCCAGGCAGGAGGGAGCAGCCAGACCCCCAUCCCGCCAGGGUCACCAGGUGAGCAAGGCUGGGGAACAAUGGAGGCGGAGCCCCGCGACUGCCCAGCUCACUGCCCCCAGUGUCCAGGCUGUGGUGCAGGCGUGGGGACCCAGGUGUGUUCAGGGGUCUCCUUCAGGGAAGGAGACCAAGCUGGGAGUCUGGGGAGGCUGAGGUGUGAGGUGACAGCAGGUAAAGAGUGAGCCACAAUCAGCAUUUUCACAUGAAAGGAAACUACAGGCCUGGGCGCAGUGGCUCACGCCUGUAAUCCCGGCACUGUGGGAGGCUGAGGUGGGAGGAUCACCUGAGGUCGGGAGUUCGAGACCAGCCUGACCAACAUGGAGAAACCCCAUUUCUACUAAAAAAAAUACAAAAUUAGCUGGGCAUGGUGGCGCAUGCCUGUAAUCCUAGCUAUUCGGGAGGCUGAGACAGGAGAAUCACUUGAACCCGGGAGGCGGAGGUUAUGGAGAGCCAAGAUCGCACCACUGCACCCCAGCCUGGGCAACAAGAGUAAAACUCCGUCUCAAAAAAAAAAAAAAAAGAAGAAAGAAAAAGAAAAAAAGAAAGGCAACUACAGAAGGUGAGGAGAACCACCCGAGAUCACCAGAGGGAACCGUGGAAGGUCCGUGGUCCACCAGCCAGGCUGGGGCACCUCAGCCCCUGGGCAGAGCACCAAGCAGGGCCGUGCCCUGGUAAAGGAGGGCACAGUCAGCCCCAGACUACAAGCUGCCUUGGUCCUCCCAGCAGGGCUUAAAAGCAAGACCCCAAAGGACCAAACAGCUUCCAAGUAACUUCCUGGAGUCCUGAGCAAAGUAAGCUUUUCUCAGCUUUGCUACAAAAAUAGUCAGCACCCAGCAAAAUUCACAAUCCCUGUCACCCAUUCAAAAAUCACCAGGCAUGCGAGGAAGCAGGAAAAGGAAAAUGCACCCAGAAGAGAAGGAGCACCCAUCAACGGGGCCGCCUCAGAAGCAACAGACGACCGGGCAAGUCCAAGGGCACCGAGGCACCUGCCACCACUGCGCCCAGCACUCCCGAAGCCAGAGGGCAGAUUGAGGUUCAGAGAAGUCAGAAGCCUUCCCAAGGCUGCACAGCCAGAAGUGGGCACAGCGUCCUGGGGUGAGGGCUCACACCAUCUGCGCCACCUGCCCUCCAGGUCCCACCAUCCUCACAAAUUCAAGGCAAGGUUCUGGAACCCCCAGCCCUCCAGAAAGGGGAAGCUGAGCCCAGGAAGCACAUCUGAGAGUUCGGGUCCGUGAGUUUACCCUGCGCUCACGCCGAUUCCUCCUGCAUCCUCUGUCGGGAUGUCUGGAUUCCAGAGUCCCCACCCUGAUUUUCCAACCUUGCCUCAGCCUUGGCUUCUCCCUUUUGGGGUGGGACAGGGAACCCCAGCAGCAGGUGUAUGAGGGCAUGAGAGGGCAGGAGGUGCCCUAUGCCUACCCGCCAGACCAGGGCCCCAGCCCUGGACACAGGGAGAGAGCAUGAGCGCUGUUCCUGCUCCCACUCCCUCAUCUGAGCAGGUGCUCCCAGGUACAGGUGCCGAGUCCCACCCAGAGGGGCCCUGCCACAACCAGAGGACUGACAAACCCAGACACAACUGUCUCUUCCCCCUGGUCAGGGUCUGGGCAAGGGUCCCUCUGGGCUGCUGUCCAUGCUGUGAGUGUCCGUGCUGUGGGCCACUGCCGUGGGUGUCCGUGCUGUGGCCUGCUGUCGUGGGUGUCCGUGCUGUGGCCCGGUAUGUGAGGUUGUGUUUCCAACAGGGAGUAAUUUGGCUUUGGUUACCUGAGGGUCUGAGGACAGGCACUAAAGCCCCACCUUUCUGGCUUCCAGAGUUGCCGGCUCCAGCAGCAGCCUCCAGGCCUGAGCAGGCUCUGGGGCUCCCACACCUGGGGGGCCAGGGUGGGGGUGACAAAGGGCCCCAGGCGACGGCUGAGAGCCGGCCCUGAGCCGGCCAGGGCGGGCAGCAGAACAGCCACCAGCUCCCGCCAGGCCCUGGCAGCAUGAGCGAUGGCAGGCCCAGCGAUAAGAAACUAAUAAUUUAUGCUUCCAGCUCCCGGGGCCGGCGCCGAGGGAAGGUUGGGCCACAGCCUCCCCCGCACUGAGCGGCUGCAGUCCUUUAUUGCACAAAUUAUUAACGACCAGAGAAUGAAUGACUCUGUAAUCAGAUCAGGUUGCCAGCACUUUUCAUUGCAUUUAUUUGUAUAAAUUCUGAAGUCGGGGUCUGCCCUAAGCUCAGCAAGCCAGCGUCGUGCUGGCUGGGCGCCCAGGCCCCCACCCAGAAGGAACACCCGUCCCUCACCCUGCCCACGGGUUCCAGAGGACAGAGGGCUCAGGAAGGGGUGCAGGGAACUGCUCUGAGCCAGAAGCCGAGUUCAUAGGCACCCAAAGCAGCCCUGGGCCAGGGUCAGAGCUCUGUCCUUGAACCUGCCUCAGGGAAGAUUCCCAACUGUCCUCAGAGCCAGGGGCACCCAGGGCUUGGGAGCUGAAGGGGGGUGGGUCUGAGACCAGGAGAAGGCUCCCCAGCCCUGAGGGAACCCUCAUCACCCCCCUGCUCUCCUCGAUCCAGGAACCGUCCCAGGGUUGCCCCAGGCCUCCUGGCUCUCCCGCCUCCAUCCCGUGGGCUUCCCGGGAGCCCCAGGCUGGUCUCCCACCUGCCCCCUCCUUUUCUGGUCUUGCCUGGGCUGGGCCCAGGGGCUCUGGCUGUGGGUUUUCUGUGCAGCACCUCGCAGUGAGCCUGACGCUGGUCCUCUCCUGAGCCCCCGUUUAAUCUUAUUGACCUCUCGUUACGCUACAGAGCGUAAAUUCAGAUUUAGAGAUCUUAUGUUCCAUCAUAAAUUGGGCUGGCAGACUUCCGAUCAACAAGAUAAAGCUGUCUUCCGUGAGGCUGGUGUUUUAUUAGUCUUGGUCCCAGUGCUGCAGGUGUGGGCUGGGGAGUGCCUGAGGGAGGGGCCUCUGCUUGGGACCCUUCCUGCCUGGGCGAGGGGCUGAGUCCCUCCUGCCGCCCGGGCUGGGCCCCAGGUACCUGGCGAACAAAGGGACCCUGAAAUUGCCGCCUUUCCCCUGCCUCUUGGGCUCUGCAUAUGAUUUCAGCCAAUCCCUGCUGCCCAGCCUCGCCCACCCGCUUCUGGGGCCACCCCCGCGUUAAGCAGGGCUGUGCAGCAUGGGGGUCCUGUUCUCAUUCAGCCACCGGCACGGCCACCCCAGUGUGAUUCCUCAGCAGCCACACAGAAGACAGAUGGUCCAUAGGAGACUCAGAAACAGAGAAGCCUCACGCCAGGUCCACAGAGGCACCCACGCCCGCCAAAAGGAUGCCACGCACUCACCCUGCCCUCUGGGGAGCACAGUGGGAGUCCAGGACACCGCCUUGGAUGGGGUGCUGGGGCCUCUGGCUGCUGCAGCAUUUACAGAGGAAUUGUCUGGGAUGUGCCGGGCCGAGCACUGUAGCUCUCGCCGGUGUCUGCGUCAGCACGCUAGUGACAUGGCAGGUGAGGACCACGGCACCGCCCCUGCGAUCUGGCAGUCAGAGCCCACCUGUGUGUCUGCAGGAGCAUCCCUGACUACACACCACGGGACGGCAGGGAAGGGUCCCUCGGGCCCCACCCCUUUGUUCUUUCAAUGGUAAAGGUUCAGGUCGGUGGACAGACUGGACUUGGAAACACCUUCUUGCGUCCUCGAAACGACGUGGCACGCAGCCAGCUCACAGCACCCAAAGGCACGGGCAAGUUGCAUCACGGCAGCCCCUCCUGUCUGACCAGGAGCAGGUGCGUUCCUGAGGUCCUGGCCACUUCUGCAGGAGCGUCCGAGGGAGCCCAGCUGAUAUACCACAGCCCCUGACCUCCCAGGUUAGCCUUUCCAUCCAACAGCACCAGGACUGGACAGGCCACCUUGGCUGAGGAUCACGUGUGCCUGGGUCUGGGCGGUGCUGAUGCCCACAGGCCCUGAGUCUGUGUUGCGCACAGGCCUUGGAAAGCAGUGCACAUCCUGUCUGCACCGGUGUCUAUAGUGAAGCCAUCUUUGUCCGUGUGGCCAUGGGAGGGUCUGUCUGUGCUGUGUGUGUGUCCUGCGCGCGUCGGGAGCUGCUGCGCCACACACAGGCACGCAGGGUGUGGGCACACCUGUGCUUCUGAGCCCACGUGCCCUUGCCGGUGGCCAGGCACACACACAGCUGUGCAUCCUUGGCCCAAGAUCAGCUGUGCCACACCUGCAGGCUGCAGGAUCUUUUCUGUAUAUCUCCCUCCAUCACCAGAAGUAAGCUCAGGACUGAGGCUGACAGGCUGGUCUGAGCGCUGCUCACCUGCACCUCCUGGCUGCACCUGUGGCCCCGGACUCAGCUUCCCCAUCUCUCUCCUCCCCACCCCACCUCUGGGUCAUCUCCGGCUGGGGCUGUACCACAUCUGGGCUCAAUAAAUGGUUGAUUGAUUGA